This 341-nucleotide ribosomal RNA is filed under the name uncultured bacterium. RNAcentral describes it as "bacterial SSU rRNA". It matches the Rfam family "Bacterial small subunit ribosomal RNA", at positions 30 to 372 of the family's 1533-position model. The record is from RNAcentral.
AUUGAACGCUGGCGGCAUGCCUUACACAUGCAAGUCGAACGGCAGCACGGGAGCAAUCCUGGUGGCGAGUGGCGACGGUGAGUAAUAUAUCGGAACGUGCCCGGUCGUGGGGGAUAACGUAGCGAAAGCUACGCUAAUACCGCAUACGAUCUAUGGAUGAAAGCGGGGGAUCGCAAGACCUCGCGCGAUUGGAGCGGCCGAUAUCAGAUUAGGUAGUUGGUGAGGUAAAGGCUCACCAAGCCGACGAUCUGUAGCUGGUCUGAGAGGACGACCAGCCACACUGGGACUGAGACACGGCCCAGACUCCUACGGGAGGCAGCAGUGGGGAAUAUUGGGACAAU